AAAGUCGUAACAAGGUUUCCGUAGGUGAACCUGCGGAAGGAUCAUUAUCACGUAUCCACGUUUAUCAACCAUUGUGAACUGUCUUUAUUGACCUUUAAGUUGUUAGAAUUUCGUUGUUGAUGUAUACUUCCCUUUAAUGUGGAGAAUAACAUUUAUUGUUGAUUUGAGUUAUUCCGUAUAUAUUAACCAAAGCAAUUAUUUCUAAUUUCUUAAAGUGUAACUUUCAAAUCACUUUUAUUAUUAACAAUUUAAACCCAAAUAAACUUUUUAUUUGAACUGAAUUAAUUUCAUUUCUCUGUUUUACAGGGACUGAAAUAAAAUUUUACGAAACAUAAGAACAACUCUUAGCAACGGAUAUCUUGGUUCUC
Molecule: unclassified non-coding RNA, 368 nt
Filed under: Basidiomycota sp.
Lineage: Eukaryota; Fungi; Basidiomycota
Description: partial contains small subunit ribosomal RNA, internal transcribed spacer 1, and 5.8S ribosomal RNA
Rfam family: Eukaryotic small subunit ribosomal RNA (bases 1-47)
Source: RNAcentral